AUAAAACUAUUCUAAGACCCCGUUCACACUUGCGACCAAUGUGGUUGCACGGCUCAUUAGACACUCCAUACUCUCUGUCGCGCUCGAAAGGUAAAUCAAGCUGAAUGCUCUGCUAGCCAAGAUGGCAGUGGAUCAAUAUUGAAUGGUAAUUAAUUCUACAUCAUACAACUAAUUAGAAAAAUAUUAAAUAAAAUCUAGCAGGUUAACGUUCAGGUUGUUUCUUUCACAUAAUAUACAAGCUGCAGUGCAUUUAUAAUUGUGCUUGUCACAAUUAACUUGUUUGUUAUGUAGCAGCAAAGCGAUAAAAAUAAAAACUGCAGUAUUGUGGAUCUCUGUGAUCAAUAAUGGUGCUGGCGACUUGGCAUAUUCAACUACCGUUUAUUUUGCACGCAACGAUAUACACAGCUUCAGAAGUGUGUGUCUUUACAUUUAAAAUGCCGAUCAUUUCUUUAGCUGUUUGCUUUUACACACAAAACCAAAUACUGUUCUCAUCCACAAAUAAAGAUUGAUGCACCAUGUGAGGGUGAGACCCUCGCUGUAAUAUUUCAAUGACUGUUGUGAUUAUUAUUAAUGUUCUACUGGCGAUAGAGCAGUGGUUUAUUGUAUAUCAUGCAUGUUGAGCAAAGUGUAUUUUAUAUAUGAGUGUAUUGCUGUGUUUAGGGAGCUUCCCUCAAUGAAGUGGUAAUGGUUAGGGACUAGAAAAUAACAAGUAAACAAUAGAAUACUUUAACAGUCGUGUUUGUAAACAAGACGGUAUUCACGCAGGUUAAACAAAUACGUAUAAAUAAGAAACGUGCAAUAUGCCUUUCCUUAGGAGGAAGCAGUAGUACUAUUAGUAGUACAGUAGUACUAGUCCUUUGCAAUCUGAAGUAUCCGUUACGAAAAUAAAUAUGUAUACCUGUCAACACCUGGCAAGUUGCUGUUUCCCCACAUUCUAGGUUAAGCUUGGACCGUUGCCAUAUUACACACCAUAACGUUACGUCAAAAUAGUCUAUUUUUUAAUAUAUGCCAUACAAUUGCUACUGUGCUGCAUUGAAAAAAUAUAUAUUAAGAACCAUCUGCUACAAAUCAAGGAUUACUGUAUAUUCCAGUAGCUCUUCUAUUCUGAGUGCAGUCUAUCGUUCAUAGAAAAAAGCAGUUUGCCACAUUUUAGGCCUGCUUUUCAGUCACGUGAACGCGCGACAUUGCCUUAAACCGCAAAUGUGAACGGGGUUGCAGACUUAACCCUUAGCGGUCCAUUGUCGGACCCGGUCCGACAUCAUUAUAGAAACGAAAAAAACGGGUUUUAGUCGUUUUUUCUCCGGAAAAAGCCGAGAAAACCAUUCAAUGGCAGAGUGGGAACGACAGGAGCCGAGACAAGUAAAAAAAAUAAAUAAA
Acipenser ruthenus (sterlet) is the source of this 1377-nucleotide long non-coding RNA. RefSeq lists it as uncharacterized. Lineage: Eukaryota; Metazoa; Chordata; Actinopteri; Acipenseriformes; Acipenseridae. The transcript is spliced from 2 exons. The record is from RefSeq and is a predicted model, not a curated record.